This 497-nucleotide ribosomal RNA is filed under the name uncultured bacterium. RNAcentral describes it as "partial 16S ribosomal RNA". It matches the Rfam family "Bacterial small subunit ribosomal RNA", at positions 28 to 507 of the family's 1533-position model. The record is from RNAcentral.
GACGAACGCUGGCGGCGUGCCUAAUACAUGCAAGUAGAACGCUGAAGAGAGGAGCUUGCUCUUCUUGGAUGAGUUGCGAACGGGUGAGUAACGCGUAGGUAACCUGCCUUGUAGCGGGGGAUAACUAUUGGAAACGAUAGCUAAUACCGCAUAACAAUGGAUGACACAUGUCAUUUAUUUGAAAGGGGCAAUUGCUCCACUACAAGAUGGACCUGCGUUGUAUUAGCUAGUAGGUGAGGUAAUGGCUCACCUAGGCGACGAUACAUAGCCGACCUGAGAGGGUGACCGGCCACACUGGGACUGAGACACGGCCCAGACUCCUACGGGAGGCAGCAGUAGGGAAUCUUCGGCAAUGGGGGCAACCCUGACCGAGCAACGCCGCGUGAGUGAAGAAGGUUUUCGGAUCGUAAAGCUCUGUUGUAAGUCAAGAACGGGUGUGAGAGUGGAAAGUUCACACUGUGACGGUAGCUUACCAGAAAGGGACGGCUAACUACGUG